UGCGUAGGCGGUUUGGUAAGUCAGAUGUGAAAUUCCUGGGCUCAACCGAGGAACUGCAUUUGAUACUGCCAGACUAGAGUACUGGAGAGGAGACUGGAAUUUACGGUGUAGCAGUGAAAUGCGUAGAUAUCGUAAGGAAGGCCAGUGGCGAAGGCGAGCCUCUGGACAGUAACUGACGCUGAGGCACGAAGGCUAGGGGAGCAAACG
This 207-nucleotide ribosomal RNA is filed under the name uncultured bacterium. Its description in RNAcentral is "partial 16S ribosomal RNA". It matches the Rfam family "Bacterial small subunit ribosomal RNA", at positions 568 to 774 of the family's 1533-position model. The record is from RNAcentral.